AGCGAACGCUGGCGGCAGGCUUAACACAUGCAAGUCGAGCGGGCCUUUCGGGGUCAGCGGCGGACGGGUGAGUAACGCGUGGGAACGUGCCUUCUGGUUCGGAAUAACCCUGGGAAACUAGGGCUAAUACCGGAUACGCCCUUAUGGGGAAAGGUUUACUGCCGGAAGAUCGGCCCGCGUCUGAUUAGCUAGUUGGUGGGGUAACGGCCUACCAAGGCGACGAUCAGUAGCUGGUCUGAGAGGAUGAUCAGCCACACUGGGACUGAGACACGGCCCAGACUCCUACGGGAGGCAGCAGUGGGGAAUAUUGGACAAUGGGCGCAAGCCUGAUCCAGCCAUGCCGCGUGAGUGAUGAAGGCCUUAGGGUUGUAAAGCUCUUUUAUCCGGGACGAUAAUGACGGUACCGGAGGAAUAAGCCCCGGCUAACUUCGUGCCAGCAGCCGCGGUAAUACGAAGGGGGCUAGCGUUGCUCGGAAUCACUGGGCGUAAAGGGCGCGUAGGCGGCGUUUUAAGUCGGGGGUGAAAGCCUGUGGCUCAACCACAGAAUGGCCUUCGAUACUGGGACGCUUGAGUAUGGUAGAGGUUGGUGGAACCGCGAGUGUAGAGGUGAAAUUCGUAGAUAUUCGCAAGAACACCGGUGGCGAAGGCGGCCAACUGGACCAUUACUGACGCUGAGGCGCGAAAGCGUGGGGAGCAAACAGG
Molecule: ribosomal RNA, 702 nt
Filed under: uncultured Methylobacterium sp.
Lineage: Bacteria; Pseudomonadati; Pseudomonadota; Alphaproteobacteria; Hyphomicrobiales; Methylobacteriaceae
Description: bacterial SSU rRNA
Rfam family: Bacterial small subunit ribosomal RNA
Source: RNAcentral